GUAGGAGGCAAGCGUUGUCCGGAUUUACUGGGCGUAAAGGGCUCGCAGGCGGUUCGCCAAGUCUGGUGUGAAAUCUCCCGGCUUAACCGGGAGGGUGCAUUGGAAACUGGCGGACUUGAGGGCAUCAGGGGAGAGUGGAAUUCCAGGUGUAGUGGUGAAAUGCGUAGAUAUCUGGAAGAACACCAGUGGCGAAGGCGGCUCUCUGGGUGCAUCUGACGCUGAGGAGCGAAAGCGUGGGGGAGCGAACCGGAUUAGAUACCCGGGUAGUCCACGCCCUAAACGAUGAUAACUAGGUGUUGGGGGUAUCGACCCCCCCUCAGUGCCGAAGCUAACGCGAUAAGUUAUCCGCCUGGGGACUACGGCCGCAAGGCUAA
RNAcentral lists this ribosomal RNA (374 nucleotides) under uncultured organism. RNAcentral describes it as "partial 16S ribosomal RNA". It matches the Rfam family "Bacterial small subunit ribosomal RNA", at positions 527 to 897 of the family's 1533-position model. The record is from RNAcentral.